CAAUGACAAGUAGUUUUGAAACAGUCGUCAUGCUUAUACUGCUGGAUUACUGAUUGAUAUAGCGACGUGUAAAUACAUCUUAAAAGAAUUGUGUAGGUUUUUUUCUCUUGUUUUUAUAAAGAUAUUGUAUUAAAUUUGUGUCGUGUGAGAACAAGAACAAUCCGGUUAGCAGGGUUGCACAUUCAUGGUAAUACUAUAAACUAAAAUUACUAGUAUCCUGAUUGUGAAUAUGAUUAACAUUGAUUACUGUCAAAUUAUAUGUAUAAGUAAUUUCCUUUCCAAAAUAAAUGUAAAACCAACACAAAAAAAUAAGUGUCGGACAAAAAGAAAAAUUGAAGUGUCGGACAAAAACCAACAGACAAAAAAGAGAGAAGUCCGACAAAAAGAAACACACAUGUUUAAGGAAAAGGUGUCCGCACAAAAGCACUGUAUCAGACGCAUAUAUUACAUCUUCCAUACAAAUUUAAUUCUGAAAAAAAGUUGAUGACGCUACAGACACAUGAAACAGUUCUGUCUAUGAGCUUAUACUUUCUAGACAUGUCACAUCCAAAAUCAAAUUAUUUAUUAAUAUAUCGUAUACAUGUACACGAGAUCUAAGAGUAAAUAUAGGUUUGAAUGAGACUUACUACUACAUUGGAAUCAUGCAGCAGUUCAUAUAACAAAACAAUAAUAACUAGUACGCAAACUUGAACUCUAAAAUGGGGACUAUCAUUUACGAAAUAAUUCCAUUUCCUUACCCUCACAAUUUCUUUCGAUGCAAAAAACAAAACAAAACAAAA
RNAcentral lists this long non-coding RNA (779 nucleotides) under Mytilus galloprovincialis (Mediterranean mussel). The record is from RNAcentral. Lineage: Eukaryota; Metazoa; Mollusca; Bivalvia; Mytilida; Mytilidae.